UACGAACCGUGCAAACGUUGUUCGGAAUCACUGGGCUUAAAGGGCGCGUAGGCGGGCCAGCCAGUCUGUGGUGAAAGCCCCCGGCUUAACCGGGGAAGUGCCGUGGAUACUGCUGGCCUCGAGGAGGAUAGGGGCAUCUGGAACGGUCGGUGGAGCGGUGAAAUGCGUUGAUAUCGACCGGAACUCCGGUGGCGAAGGCGAGGUGCUGGGUCCUUUCUGACGCUGAUGCGCGAAAGCCAGGGGAGCAAACGGG
This 253-nucleotide ribosomal RNA is filed under the name uncultured bacterium. RNAcentral's name for it is "partial 16S ribosomal RNA". It matches the Rfam family "Bacterial small subunit ribosomal RNA", at positions 524 to 776 of the family's 1533-position model. The record is from RNAcentral.